UGGAGCAUGUGGUUUAAUUCGAAGCAACGCGAAGAACCUUACCAGGCCUUGACAUGCAGAGAACUUUCCAGAGAUGGAUUGGUGCCUUCGGGAACUCUGACACAGGUGCUGCAUGGCUGUCGUCAGCUCGUGUCGUGAGAUGUUGGGUUAAGUCCCAUAACGAGCGCAACCCUACCUUUAGUUGCCAUCAGGUAAUGCUGGGGACUCUAAAGGAACUGCCUACGCAAGUAGUGAGGAAGGCGGGGAUGACGUCAAAUCAGCACGGCCCUUACGUCCAGGGCUACACACGUGCUACAAUGGCCGAUACAGAGGGCAGCUACCUGGUGACAGGAUGCAAAUCUCCAAAGUCGGUCUCAGUUCGGAUCGGAGUCUGCAACCCGACUCCGUGAAGUUGGAUUCGCUAGUAAUCGCGCAUCAGCCAUGGCGCGGUGAAUACGUUCCCGGGCCUU
This 449-nucleotide ribosomal RNA is filed under the name uncultured Sphingobacteriales bacterium. RNAcentral describes it as "bacterial SSU rRNA". It matches the Rfam family "Bacterial small subunit ribosomal RNA", at positions 933 to 1382 of the family's 1533-position model. The record is from RNAcentral. Lineage: Bacteria; Pseudomonadati; Bacteroidota; Sphingobacteriia; Sphingobacteriales.